Molecule: transfer RNA, 83 nt
Filed under: Acidobacteriota bacterium
Lineage: Bacteria; Pseudomonadati; Acidobacteriota
Description: tRNA-Leu
Rfam family: tRNA
About the family: Transfer RNA (tRNA) molecules are approximately 80 nucleotides in length. Their secondary structure includes four short double-helical elements and three loops (D, anti-codon, and T loops). Further hydrogen bonds mediate the characteristic L-shaped molecular structure. tRNAs have two regions of fundamental functional importance: the anti-codon, which is responsible for specific mRNA codon recognition, and the 3' end, to which the tRNAs corresponding amino acid is attached (by aminoacyl-tRNA synthetases). tRNAs cope with the degeneracy of the genetic code in two manners: having more than one tRNA (with a specific anti-codon) for a particular amino acid; and 'wobble' base-pairing, i.e. permitting non-standard base-pairing at the 3rd anti-codon position.
Source: RNAcentral
GCCCGAGUGCUGGAACGGUUUACAGGAUCGGCUCAAAACCGAUUGUCCGAAAGGACAUGCGGGUUCGAAUCCCGCCUCGGGCA